GAGGCUGAGGCUGAGGCUCGCAGUAGCCCCUUUGUGAGGCACGGGGCAGAUACGCACCCCACGUCUCGCAGCUCGAGUCCCGGACCGCAAGAUGGGUGCUUGUCCAGGCGCCCCACCCCACCCCCACGCCCGAGGCCGGGUGCGGCACCUCCGCCCGCCAGCCGCUCCUGCAUUAAAAUUUCAUGGGCGCUGCAGUAGACGCGAAGACGACGCGGGUUGCGCUGGGGGACCGUAGGGAGGGAGGCUGCGGACCAGUGCGGGGAGGAGUUUGCGAGGGGAGGCGCUUGCAGGACUCCCCCAGUUCUGUUAAGAGCUGGGCACAAAGAGCCCUUUGCACUCCAGCCUCAGGAGCGAGGAGCCGAGAGGCAGGAUCUCACUAUGUACAGCAGGAUGACCUGGAACUCACAGAGGGUCCAACUGCAUCUGCCUUCCAAGCAUUGGGAUCAAAAUAGUGCUUGUAAUUACCCACUGUACCUGGCUGGAGGCCUGUCCCCAUGGCUCAUCUGUCUCAGUGGUACCUUGGGGUGAAGCAGAGACUCUGGUGGUGGAAGCCAAAGGCUUUACCAAGUUGGUUCUGUCCACAACACAGGGAUUGAACCUUCCGAACCUCAAGAGUUCCUGCUAGUUCCCAAGUGGCAGAAGAAUGGAGGGGAUUGGGAAAGGUCAUAGCCACCCUGGGAAGCAGCCGUGCAGAUAAGUAUCCCUUCACCAGCCCGCCUGCAUGGG
Molecule: long non-coding RNA, 726 nt
Organism: Rattus rattus (black rat)
Lineage: Eukaryota; Metazoa; Chordata; Mammalia; Rodentia; Muridae
Exons: 4
Source: RefSeq, a predicted model, not a curated record